GUAGAAACUCUGUGGAUAUUAAUCCACGUUACAUUCUAUGUCUAAAUUAUAUAACGGUCGUAAGGUACGCCGGGGAUAACAGGUCAGAUAAUAUUGGGAGUUCUAAUCCUCGGAUUCUAUCAGCACCUCCAUGUCGGCUCAUUACUCCCUUGUUAUUGAACAAGAUUCAAUUAGGAACGCUAGUUCACCGUCAGAUGUAAUACGUGAGCUGGGUUAAGAACGUCUUGAGACAGUUUGUUCCCUA
Molecule: non-coding RNA, 244 nt
Filed under: Myotis davidii
Lineage: Eukaryota; Metazoa; Chordata; Mammalia; Chiroptera; Vespertilionidae
Description: Bacterial large subunit ribosomal RNA
Rfam family: Bacterial large subunit ribosomal RNA
Source: Rfam by way of RNAcentral